UACGUAGGGUGCAAGCGUUGUCCGGAAUUAUUGGGCGUAAAGAGCUCGUAGGCGGUUUGUCGCGUCUGCUGUGAAAAUCCAGGGCUUAACCCUGGACCUGCAGUGGGUACGGGCAGACUAGAGUGCGGUAGGGGAGAUCGGAAUUCCUGGUGUAGCGGUGAAAUGCGCAGAUAUCAGGAGGAACACCGGUGGCGAAGGCGGAUCUCUGGGCCGUAACUGACGCUGAGGAGCGAAAGCAUGGGGAGC
Molecule: ribosomal RNA, 246 nt
Filed under: uncultured bacterium
Lineage: Bacteria
Description: partial 16S ribosomal RNA
Rfam family: Bacterial small subunit ribosomal RNA
Source: RNAcentral